GCUUUCUUGCCUCUUCUGCCAUGUGAGGGCACAGCAAGAAGACCAUGCUCUAUAAAUCAGAAAAUGGGUCCCUACAGACCAAACUGGCUGGCACCUUUAUUGUGGACUUUCCAAUCUGCGGAAAUUUUUUAUAGACCAAAGUUAAGGCUGAAUUGAGAAGGCUCAGAAGACCCUGGCUAGAGUUUCAUCAAGUUUAAAAUGAUCGUCAACUCUGUAUACAUCAAAAUUGAGUUCGGAAGCUGAUACUUACAGCAGUGGAGAUUAGCAAUACCUGGACAGAGUUGAGCUUCAAAGGACACUGAGAAAUGGCUAAAGCAGGUAUAAAGAGAGAAGACUGGAACUUUGUCUAUGCUUAUCAUCUAGCUUCAAG
RNAcentral lists this long non-coding RNA (370 nucleotides) under Pan troglodytes (chimpanzee). RNAcentral's name for it is "long non-coding RNA NONPTRT000762". The record is from RNAcentral. Lineage: Eukaryota; Metazoa; Chordata; Mammalia; Primates; Hominidae.